AGCAGUAGCCGCGGUAAUACGGAGGGUGCAAGCGUUAAUCGGAAUUACUGGGCGUAAGGCGUGCGUAGGCGGUUCGUUAAGUCUGUUGUGAAAGCCCCGGGCUCAACCUGGGAAUGGCGAUGGAUACUGGCGAGCUAGAGUGUGUCAGAGGAUGGUGGAAUUUCCGGUGUAGCGGUGAAAUGCGUAGAUAUCGGAAGGAACACCUGUGGCGAAAGCGGCUCACUGGACCAUUUCUGACGCUGAUGCACGAAAGCUAGGGGAGCAAACAGGAUUAGAUACCCGGGUAGUCCCUGUCUCUUAUAC
RNAcentral lists this ribosomal RNA (303 nucleotides) under uncultured bacterium. RNAcentral's name for it is "partial 16S ribosomal RNA". It matches the Rfam family "Bacterial small subunit ribosomal RNA", at positions 507 to 807 of the family's 1533-position model. The record is from RNAcentral.